Molecule: unclassified non-coding RNA, 2500 nt
Filed under: Hevea brasiliensis (rubber tree)
Lineage: Eukaryota; Viridiplantae; Streptophyta; Magnoliopsida; Malpighiales; Euphorbiaceae
Source: RNAcentral
AAAGAUUUCACUUGUUAUAAUAAUACACAUAUUAACUGCAGAAAAAAAGUCUAAACAAGAUAAUAAAAUUUCAUCUAUAGCCGGCCUAACGCAUAUUCUACAUAUAUAUGAUCAGAAAUGACUAACCAUUGUUCUCUCAUUCUAAGAUGAAAAUACCUAAAAAAUACACAUGCAAAGAUGAUUCCUUAGCCCAGCAAUACAGCUUUGAUUUGCUCAUAAAUUGGUUCAGAUUGGGAACACAAAACCCUAAUCCCUAGCCAAUCUACAAACUGAUAGACUAGCUCCAUUUGAAUAAGAUUGUUGGUUAGUACACAAUAAAUUUGAAAAUGUGUCAGUUCCCUCCAUGUAUGAAAUCUCGUUCCAACAAAAGAAUUUUUUUUUUAAUACAUAAUCAACUCUCACCCAUUUUCUUCUGGUACAGAUGCUCUUCCAUAUUCCAGUAGUUCGCUUUGCACAUAUGCAUCGAAUUUACCUAUAGCCUCUUCCUCUUCCACGUCCACCCCAGCCCCUACCUCUGCCCCUGCCCCCUGUACCACCCCUCCCUCCAUGAGAUAUUCCUUCCAAUGCCCUGUUAACUAGUUGGUUUUGUAAGCCACCAGACCCACGGCCCUUUUUUGCCAUGUUGCCAGACCCAUUAGCAGUAGUAGCAGGUCGUUUCCCUCCAGUGGCUGUCGUGGUGGAAGGCACAGAAGGUUUUACUGCUUCUUUCCAGGAGGGAUUGAUACUCUUAUCUCCAAUAAAUAAAGGCGUCUUCAAAUGCAAUGGCUUUGUCAUUGCCAAAAUGUUAUUGCAAGUUCGCAACCCAGUUGUAGUAUUCUGUUUUUGAGUUUUUAUGUUAUCCUUUGCCUCAUCUGACUUCGCAGCAGCCAUCGCUUUGUUAUGCUCAGCCAUUCCCUGAGUUAACUUUUUCAUGGUAGCCCUAGUUAGCUCUUCUACAUUACUCAACCUCUCAGUGAGAUCCUUGUACAACUCAGAGAAGUCCUCCCCAAGCCUAUCUGAUGGCUGGCCAGUAACUAUCUUGUAACCACAUAUGCUGUUUGUAGCAUUGGGAGCCUUAUGAGCUAAAUGGUGAAAUGCAUAUAACAAGCAUUCAACAUAAGUGAAGUUCAUCUCUUCUCCAGUCUUCCUCCGAGGCAUGUAAUUCUUUAAUAACUGCACAAUAGAAGGAAGAAUCUGGCGUGAAUCCUGUGGCAGAGUGUAAGGUGAAAUUUCUGCAAGUGCUUUGAGCAAAUCAAGCUUUCGUUCCUCAGGAAGCUUAUCAAAAACAGGAAUAAUGUGAUUGUUCAAAUAGUUCAGAAACUUGCUACCUGAUGCACCCCUCAGAAAAAAUGGAAGUGCCAUAUAAAGGCAUGAUAUCAGCCUGUCAAUAUGCUCUCCAUCUGAAAUGUUAAAUUGUGCAUCUAAAUCGGCCUGUCCCUCAAUAAUUUCAAUAAGUUCUUUCAUCCGUUCUGGAGGAGCUUUAUCUCCAAAUAUGCUCAAACUUCUUAAGAAGUCCAUGAACAUUUUGAAUUCUGCUGCAGUUACAUCUUCUAAGCCCUUUUUAAUCAAGUCAGUUAUAUGCCGUUCCAUUUCCUCUUGAGGCCUCAAAAGUUCAGCCUUGAGACGGAAAACCUUAUCUCUUAUAAAGCCUAAAACUUUCUCACGGACAUCUUCUGGACCUUGUUCAUCAGUUGUCCCGAUGUGCUUAAACAAGGCAGUUAAAGAGGCUUUCACAUCCUGCCUCAGUAAGUACAUAAGGGCUUUAUGUACAGCAUCCCGUUCCACAAUUUCUUCAGCUACAAGGAGCUGCACAAGAAUGUCGAUAAUUUUGGAAAGAUACUCUGGUGUAUCCUUGCAGAAUAGUGGCAGCCCCCGAAUUGCUUGCACCCGGACCCCAAGCUCUUCUUCCUCGAUCAAAUCAAGAUGGGCAUCGACUGCCUGGCUGGAGAGGUCAGGGAAGAACUUGAAGAACCUCGGAAUAAGCUGAGCCGCUAAUUGCUUCGCCUUUAUGCUCGUCUUAGCCGCAUCGAUAAUCCCCUGGUAAUCCUUCACAUUCUGAGACUUGUCCUUGGACUCAUUGAGUCUCUCGCCGAACUCGUAGAGCUUCUCGAUGUGCUUGGCUUCAUCAGUGGAGUCACUCAUUUGGGAAACAAAUACUAGUAUUCUUUUAUAAGCUGAGAGACAGUGAAAUUGAAGAAAUUAUUUGAACAGCACUUGGAUUGGAAACAGUAAAAGCAGAGAUGGUAAAGUCUGCGUAAAUGAUAAAAUUUGUUAGCUUGAGAUUGGAGAGCAGGCGACGUACAAGAAAUUCAACUUAGCUGUGUGUGCAGAGCCUAGCAAGCGAGACUUGACAUGGAAUAGGAAGGUGCAGAGUGACAGAGAAAGUGUUUGUAAAGGAAACAGUAACCCCAGAUGAGAGAGAGAGCUAAAACGAGGGUUUGAGUAAUCAAAGAGCAGAGAGGGUGAGGACUUUGUUCUUGUUGGGGUCUGCACCGCAAGUAGUAUCAUUUUUGGCUCAGAA